Non-coding RNA from Seriola dumerili (greater amberjack), 643 nucleotides. The record is from the annotation of a RefSeq genome assembly. NCBI's taxonomy places the organism in Eukaryota, Metazoa, Chordata, Actinopteri, Carangiformes, Carangidae.
AACACAGGGCUGUGAAUGAGCCCUGUCACUGUGAUCAGGCUCCUCCUUCUGAUCCACCAUCUUAGUGUUGAUGAAGACUAAACUGAGAGACCACAGCCUGCUUUAUACUUGCUGUAGCUCACAGUGACUCAACACUGCAGACAUGAUGCCUCUGUUCAUCUCAGUGCUGCUGGCUGCUAUGUGCCUUGAAUGCAGAGCACAAAAAGAAAACGUGCUGCAACCAAAAGGAGACGUGACCGCUACUGAAGGAGAAGCAGUAACACUUGACUGUCGAUAUAACAGCAGUUCAACAACUUCAUAUCUCUACUGGUACAAACAGGAUGGAAACCACAGCCCCAAAUUCAUCCUGAGCCGCUUUAAACUGGAUGAAGGAAACACAGCAGACGACCACAAGGAGAGAUUUUCAUCCACUCUGAAUUCCACCGUCAGAUCAGUUCCUCUGAAGAUCCAGAAGCUUCAGGUGUCUGACUCUGCUGUGUACUACUGUGCUCUGCAGCCCACAGUGACAGGAAACACCAAAACUCUGUACAAAAACCUUUGGAGCAAAGACAACACAAUACUCCACAACAUCCACUAGAGGGAGUCACACACUGUUACACUUCAAUGGUUUCUUAUGAUCCAGUCUAGAUGCAGUUGACAACAG